GCGGAGCUCAGUGUUGUGUGUCCGUUGCGUGUUUGGUGUCCAUUGCUCUGUCCGGUUUUCUCCGCGAGGCUCCAAGUGACUCCGCCAUUGCCUCCAUGGCCCUGGGACCUGCAGGUACUGGAAGGUCCAUUGGGAAGAUGUCGGGACACCACAGAAGACAAGAACCAAUUCUGUUAGCCUAUCGAAAAUGCAAGAUGCAGUUCUUUCAUGGGAACACUUAUUAGAACUUAAGAAUAAUCAUUGUGAACAACUUACAGUAAAUAUUAAACAAAUGGAAAAUAUGGUUGGUGUACUACAAAAGGAGCUAUGUGAAGCAAAAGAAACACAAUUACAGUUAGAGCAUGAAAAAGGUCAAUGGGAACAAGAACGCUACAGUUUGAGAUGGAGCUGUCUAGUUGAAGGAAAACAAGCUCAGGACUUUCA
Molecule: long non-coding RNA, 423 nt
Filed under: Homo sapiens (human)
Lineage: Eukaryota; Metazoa; Chordata; Mammalia; Primates; Hominidae
Description: non-protein coding lnc-NUPR2-8:1
Source: RNAcentral